This 484-nucleotide ribosomal RNA is filed under the name uncultured bacterium. RNAcentral's name for it is "partial 16S ribosomal RNA". It matches the Rfam family "Bacterial small subunit ribosomal RNA", at positions 30 to 507 of the family's 1533-position model. The record is from RNAcentral.
AUUGAACGCUGGCGGCAGGCCUAACACAUGCCAGUCGAGCGGAUGAAGGGAGCUUGCUCCUGGAUUCAGCGGCGGACGGGUGAGUAAUGCCUAGGAAUCUGCCUGGUCGUGGGGGAUAACGUCCGGAAACGGGCGCUAAUACCGCAUACGUCCUGAGGGAGAAAGUGGGGGAUCUUCGGACCUCACGCUAUCAGAUGAGCCUAGGUCGGAUUAGCUAGUUGGUGGGGUAAAGGCCUACCAAGGCGACGAUCCGAAACUGGUCUGAGAGGAUGAUCAGUCACACUGGAACUGGGACACGGUCCAGACUCCUACGGGAGGCAGCAGUGGGGAAUAUUGGACAAUGGGCGAAAGCCUGAUCCAGCCAUGCCGCGUGUGUGAAGAAGGUCUUCGGAUUGUAAAGCACUUUAAGUUGGGAGGAGGGGCAGUAAGUUAAUACCUUGCUGUUUUGACGUUACCAACAGAAUAAGCACCGGCUAACUUCGUG